Molecule: non-coding RNA, 1042 nt
Organism: Heterocephalus glaber (naked mole-rat)
Lineage: Eukaryota; Metazoa; Chordata; Mammalia; Rodentia; Bathyergidae
Source: RefSeq, a predicted model, not a curated record
GGAGUGAGUGAGCUGCUCCAGCUCUCCACUCUGCACGUGUGCCUGAUGUGCUCAUCAAUCUUCGGUGUGGCCUCCGGUGUACAGUACCUCAGUGACAGGAGCUGCCCCCCCCCGGGGGGGGGGUUGUUAAGAGGCUCAGAGCGAGGUUGCAAAGGAAUAAAAACACAGCAGUGUCAGAGAAACUGGAAACCAAUGAGUGGUAUAUGAGAGGAUACCAGUGCACAGUUUGAAAACAUGUUCACCAUUCCAGUGCCUAUGCCAACAAGCACUGUCUGUGACUGGUGGGACCCUGGGGAGAGAAGAGACCAAUCCAACCCAGAAAUUUUUUUCAACAGAAAAGCUGGAGAAAUAGAGCACCAUACAGAGAAAAGAAUGAAGCAGUCUGGAAAGCUCAACCUGGCUCCCAGGUUUCUGCAGGCACAAGGUGAGUCAGGAGAGGGUUGGCAGGUCCAGGGAGAAACAACAGGCCAGGCCAGCAGUGCUAGCCCCAAGAAAAGCCCAUUACUUGUGGGGUUUCACUCAGAAAGUGACUCCUUCUGCAUGGCAGGCUAGAGUUGAAAAAGAAAUACCGGGCAGCACCCGCCAUAUUUGAGAAGGUUUAAUCAAGAGCCAUUUUGAGAAGGGAUUAAUUGUUUAAGACUAAGCCACAGAACAACUUCACUUCAGGGUUUCUGGUGUUACCCAACCAUACUGAUUUGAGGAGAGAUGGCUACAAGAGACAGUUACAGAGUGGGUAUAGGUGAGACAUACACCCCUUGGGAAGUUUAAGCUCAGGCUGGGAAGAACACUGGGCUCCCUGUCCUCCAUGAUGAGAAGCCAGGCCUAAUGUGUGUGGCCUUCAGAAGCAGGUGGAUCUAAAAGUGCUGGCAUUAGUCAAGUGGUCUGUUAGAACCCCCACCCCACUGCCUACAUCUAGCACACAUUAUCAGUGGUCUGAUUGUUUUCUGCAUCUACCAACAGAAUAAGGAUGUGGCUUGGAUGGUAGCCACAGCCUAGGGUGUAUGGAGAGAGGAGUUUCCAGAGCAUAGGGGGCACUUCACAA